RNAcentral lists this transfer RNA (74 nucleotides) under Trichonephila inaurata madagascariensis. Its description in RNAcentral is "tRNA-Tyr". It matches the Rfam family "tRNA". From Rfam's summary of the family: Transfer RNA (tRNA) molecules are approximately 80 nucleotides in length. Their secondary structure includes four short double-helical elements and three loops (D, anti-codon, and T loops). Further hydrogen bonds mediate the characteristic L-shaped molecular structure. tRNAs have two regions of fundamental functional importance: the anti-codon, which is responsible for specific mRNA codon recognition, and the 3' end, to which the tRNAs corresponding amino acid is attached (by aminoacyl-tRNA synthetases). tRNAs cope with the degeneracy of the genetic code in two manners: having more than one tRNA (with a specific anti-codon) for a particular amino acid; and 'wobble' base-pairing, i.e. permitting non-standard base-pairing at the 3rd anti-codon position. Lineage: Eukaryota; Metazoa; Arthropoda; Arachnida; Araneae; Nephilidae. The record is from RNAcentral.
CCGUCCCGAUGGCUCAGUUGGCGAGCGGUGGACUGUAGAUCCAUAGGUCGCUGGUUCGAAUCCGGCUCGACGGA